CAUAUGUAUAUUUUUUGUGUGUUUUAAAUUAGGAUGAAAAUGAGGCUCUCGCUUUUGGAUUGGUUUAUAUGCCUCAGGCUGGGUCGACACCACACUCAUCCCUGUGGCCUGCCUGACCUUUGCAGCACAUUUCCUCCACAGCCUGAGCAUGGAGAUGUAGACGAGGUUCUCACAAAUCUGGGAAGCAGCUGCUGCCUCAUUGAGUCCAAGGAGCUGAAAUUCUCAAUGGAGCUUGCAGAUCACGGACUGAAAAACAGAGAAGAGCAAGUUAUUACCCUGUAUGAAAACAUCAACCUCGUGGAGUUGAGACUCAUUCAGCCAUAUGAACAUGUUAUAACGAACCUUAUCUGUGAGAUCAAACUUCAGAGCCCGGAAAUGGAAAACCUGGCCAUUGCCGUGAAGAGAGCCAAGGACAAGGCAGCCAUGCAGCUGAGUGAGCUGGAAGAGGAAACGGAUCAGAGGAUUCAGUCAGCAGAACACAAGACACGGAAAGAAGUUCUCACAAAUCUGGGAAGCAGCUGCUGCCUCAUUGAGUCCAAGGAGCUGAAAUUCUCAAUGGAGCUUGCAGAUCACGGACUGAAAAACAGAGAAGAGCAAGUUAUUACCCUGUAUGAAAACAUCAACCUCGUGGAGUUGAGACUCAUUCAGCCAUAUGAACAUGUUAUAACGAACCUUAUCUGUGAGAUCAAACUUCAGAGCCCGGAAAUGGAAAACCUGGCCAUUGCCGUGAAGAGAGCCCAGGACAAGGCAGCCAUGCAGCUGAGUGAGCUGGAAGAGGAAACGGAUCAGAGGAUUCAGGCAGCAGAACACAAGACACGGAAAGAAGAAAAACGGAAAGCUGAAGGAGCUCUUAGUGACCCCAGAUGUCAGUGUGAAAUUCAGAGAAGUAGGAGAUCUGCAGGUGACCAUAAAAAAACUCAAAAAGGUUUAUCCGUACCCCUGGCUCACUGCAAGGUGCAUGGUAGGAUUUCAGUGACUACUGAAUGGAAUGAAUAUUCCUCUUCCAUAUAGAAAGUUCCAGCAAGAACUGGUCAGCAAGAGUUUCUCCUUCUGAAUCAAAAUGCAACUUAGAAUCAGUGAUCCUGGAUAGUCAUGUGGCAAUUGUGACAUACUUGUGUGAAGAGCUUCAGUGAACACUAUCUGGCAAGAUGAAGAAGGCUCCAGCAUCAGAGUACUUAGACUUGAUGAGAUAUGAGAUUUGUUUUGAUGAACACACACAUUUUAAAUAAAUUGACACCCACAAAUCCCCACAAUUCCCUGGGGAUGGAAGAUACUCCUAAGAAAAGUACUUUUUGUUCUCCAUGUUUUAGAUGCUCCUGGACUGCUUUAAUCUGCUAGAAAAACAAUCAAAACACGUAAGUCAAAAAGAAGAUGUGGCUGCGUUAAAUAAAAGAAUUUAUGACUUAUCAAUGGAAAAUCAGAAAGUGAAGAAAGCCCUUUUAGAAGCACGGACAAAUAUAGCCUUUCUUCAGAGUGAAUUAGAUGCAUUGAAAUGUGAUGCUGAUCAGAGCCUGAAUUCUGAAAGGUAUCUUGAUGUGAGUGACUGCUGACAGGUAACUGAUGUAGGAAUCCAUGCUCUGGCAAGAAGCUGCCACCAGCUCAACUGUCUGGACCUGAGCUCUACACUAAUUGCAAAUAUUCCAUUAUAUAAAUAUGAUAUAUUUAAAUAUUAUCCUCUCAAACUACAAGUUCCUUCUAAUUUU
Molecule: RNA transcript, 1703 nt
Organism: Choloepus didactylus (southern two-toed sloth)
Lineage: Eukaryota; Metazoa; Chordata; Mammalia; Pilosa; Megalonychidae
Exons: 14
Source: RefSeq, a predicted model, not a curated record